UACGUACUGUGCGAACGUUAUUCGGAAUCACUGGGCUUAAAGGGUGCGUAGGCGGCUAAUCAAGUCAGGUGUGAAAUGCCUGGGCUCAACCGAGGCACGGCGCUUGAAACUGAUUGGCUGGAGUGAGAUAGGGGUGUGCGGAACUUCCAGUGGAGCGGUGAAAUGUGUUGAUAUUGGAAGGAACGCCGUUGGCGAAAGCGGCAUACUGGGUCUUAACUGACGCUGAGGCACGAAAGCUAGGGGAGCGAACGGG
This 253-nucleotide ribosomal RNA is filed under the name uncultured bacterium. RNAcentral's name for it is "partial 16S ribosomal RNA". It matches the Rfam family "Bacterial small subunit ribosomal RNA", at positions 524 to 776 of the family's 1533-position model. The record is from RNAcentral.